AUAAAUCAUUAGCAAUGACGUCAGUGCAUGCCAUAGUUUGUAAGCCGUGUUACUAUAAGGCCUACGCUUGAACAUUUAUAUUUGGUUUUUAUACAGUUUGAAAUUGGAUUAUGGCUGAAAACAUACCUAAUCUUGGUCACAGCAGGUUACUGCGGUUUCUAUACAUAGGGUCAGAAACAAAUUGUUAUAUUCCAGGUGAUAGAAAAUUAACAUUGGAAAAUAUACACUGCAUUGAUUCCAGUAGUCAAGAGGCAGCAGUAAAAGAAAUCAUAAGAGUAGCAAAAGAAGGCUCAUCGGUGUAUCCUGAUGCACUGCCUUUUGCUCUUGCUGUUUGUUCACAAUCCCAGAAUAUGAAAGUUAAACAAGCAGCCUAUUCAGCAUUGAAAGAAGCAUGUCCAACUGCAUCAGAGUUAUUCAGUUUUGUUCAUUUUGCCGAAGAGGUGAGCAAGCCAACCACAGGUUGGGGAAGAAGUCGCCGAACUGCUGUGGCUAACUGGUACAAAACAGAUCCCAAGAGAUUGGCAGCUUUGAUAACUAGAGUUAUGUCUCAUCGUGGUUGGAGCCAUAAAGAUUUGUUUCGACUGGUACAUUUAAAGACUGAAAAUAAAGGUUUGGCUGCCCUAUACAAAUAUAUUACUCACGGAUAUGAAGCUGCUGAAAAAGAGUUUGGUGUAGCUGAUGCCUCGCCACAAGUCAAGGAUGUAUUGGAGUAUCUGAAGGCUGUUCAUGAGCUGAAGCACACUGCUGAUGAACAGAAGGCUGCUCGUUUAAUUGAGAUGCAUGAUCUAAAUUUUGAACACAUACCAACCCCAAUGCUUAAGUCCAAAGAGAUUUGGCUUUGCCUGAUUCAUAGACUUCCAGUCCAGGUUCUUUUGUCUCAGCUUCCUAGACUCCAUCGACUAGGUUUUCUCAAGCACAAAAGCCCUGUUCUGAAGCCCAUCUUGGAGAGGUUAAACAGUGACAGUACAAUGAAUGAUGGUCACCUUGGUCCAUUACAAACAUUCAUUAUUGCUAAGCAGUUAGAAACAUUGCAGAAGAACCCAGUGGACAAAACUGUUCUUCAAACCUAUUCUAAGCUUUCUCAACUGGAUGAUACCCUCCAGACAUUACACCUUGCUUCAUUCAAGAUGGUUCCUUCAACGGGUAAACGUUAUCUGGUGGCUGUUGAUGUAAGAAACUCUAUGGUCCAUGGGAAAAAAACUUUAGGGUGUCGAUACGUGUCACCUGCUGAUGCUGCAUGUCUUAUUUUGAUGGCAUUGUCUCGAGCUGAAAGUGGGAAAGUAACAGCCCUUGCUUUCUCUAAAGAUGGACUCAAAGACAUAGAGAUUAAUAACAAGAUGACUCACAAUGAUUUUUUCAGAAGAUUAAGAGAAACUCCAAUGGGUCCUGUCAAUGUAGCAGCUCCUCUACAGUGGGCACAAGAGAAGAAAAAAACAUUUGAUGUGAUUUUGGUUUGUACUGCAAAUCAGAUCCAAUCAGGAGAUGUUCAUCCUGCUGAUGCGUUCAAAGAGUACAGAUUGAACUUAAAAUUGCCACAGGCAAGGUUUAUUGUUUGUGCAUUUUCAAGCGGGGAGUUUUCUCUUGCCCCUCCUGAUGAACCGGGUAUGCUAGACAUUGCUGGUUUCAGUGAGAAAGUACUUCAAGUAAUUCAAGAUUUUGCCCGUGGUGUCUUCUAAAAUCAUGCUUUAAGGCUAAAAGCUGAUUACAGUGUGAAUUUUCAAGAAUACAACUGCUACAUGUACAAGAAAAGGAAGAAUAUUCUAAAUAAGUUCAACUGUCAGAAUCACCCAGUUUAGCUAUUAUAAAGCAGUUCCUUUUUUUUCCCUUUUAGUAAGUAUUACCAGCUAUGUUACAAACAUAAUUUUCAUUGUUUUGCAAAUACUUUUUUUUAUAGUUAAUCUUCCAACAUGGUUUCAUGUGUUUAAAAUGUGAAGACUGCAUGUUUCAUUUAGUAUCUUUGUUUUUUCCAGCUUGAAAUUGACUUUUAUACAUGUUGAUAGCAUUAUUACUAAUAUCACUGAGGUGAAUCUUUGGGUUUGUUGUUACUUAGUUUGUCACUGUACAAAAAAAGUCCUGGCAGUUGUGAUAUUUAUGGUGUGAAAAUAAAACAAAUUUACCUCAAUGCUUGAGUAUUAGGAGAUGCUGCAAAGUUUGCAACUGUUAGACUAGUAAUAUCCCAGAUGAAGAAGUUAACCAAACUGGAAAAAAGUGUUUGUGACUGUUAUAUCAAUGAUGCCUUUUGAGAAAGUUUUUUUUGUUUUUUGUGUAUGUUUGUGUACUUGUAAAUUUGUAAUAUUUUGUUUGCAGUUUUCUCUUACUUCGUAUCAUGAUAACCUCAUGUAUUACAGAAUGAAAUUUAGCAGUACCUACUGUAGUGUUUUUACGCAUACACACACAUUGUAGAGGUGGAUCUAAUGAUGUUUAUGUAAAGCUGUUAUACAUCUGGGUGUUAUGCUUUUCUAUACAAAAUAUGUACUUUUAAAUUUUUUGUGGUGAGUUCUUGCAUACUUUUUAUUCACAAAAACAAAAUCACUGUCAUGACAAAAUCACAUUCAUCAGGGGCCAUUUUCAGUGCAAGAUUUUGACUAGAAACUGUCAAGUUUGCUCUUUUUUUUAUCAUUUAAUUUUAUGAAUCAAAUUUACCAUGAUAACUCAAUGUACAUUUUCAGAAACUAAAUAUAGUUAGAUGUGUCUUAAAACUUCUCUUUCAUCAUGUGUUAUUAAGAUUGAUAUAACUCAAUAUUUUUCAUUAUUGUUAUAUGAAUUUAUUUGUCUAUCAAAAACAAUACCUCUCAUUGCAUUUAAUAGAAACAAUUAAUUGAAAAUUAUAGUUGACAAAAAUGGCUCAAUGCAUCAGUUUGUUUUUAGAUUGUUCGUCACAAUAAUUGAGCUAUUUAAUGUUGAUUCAGCAACUAGAUUGCAUUAUCAAGAGAGCUGUUAGCCAUAUUGAAGCAGUAAAUAAAAGUAUUGUUAGUAUUUUUUCCCCAAUAAGAGAAGGAAAAGUUAAAAUGUUUCAAAAAAAAGUAAUAAAAGUGUUACAGUAAUUCUGUAAAUCUUUUCUUAAAAACAUUUUUGUUUAAAGGUGUUUAAGUAGUAUCACUAUGAAAUGGAUAUUAAGUUGAUGACAUUUUUUGCUCUCUACAACAAUUUUGCAUUGAUUUUCCUGACCAUUGCCUAUUUUGUAGCACAUAUAUAUAAAAAUGGAGAUGGAGAAUCAUGUAAAACUGUUUGAUUAGUAGCACUAAAGUGGUGGAAUUAUUGUUUAGAGGUAGAUGAAUAUUAUGCCCUAGUAUACGUUUAAUAAUAAGUUGAAAAUGUGCCUGUGAACCAUUUCGUAUUGUUGAAGGGUCUACUGUGUAUUUACAACAAAUUAUGUUAACUUUACACAAUAAGAAAUAAUUUUAUAGUAUCCUGUAUUGUGAUUUAUUGUUUAUAUGCAGCAGUUACUGGGUGAGUAGGUUACUAUCGCUGCUAUUAGAAUAGUAUACAUAUAGAUUUUAUUGUUGGACUCUUCUCUAAUUGCUAUUUUCUGAACCACAAACUUGUACAUUUCCCCAAGGAUCUUCAUAAAGUACAAAUAUGAAAGAGCAGUUGGUCUAAAGUUUGUCUUGUUUAAUAGCAGUUUUGUGGUACUAUUAAAAGAAAAAUGCAUCUUUGUUUUAAAGUAUUUGACAAAAAUAUCUAAAAUUAAAAUCAAAACUUGCUGGUCUCUUUUUACUAUUAUUAUUAAAAGGUAUUUAUAAACAUUUAGAAUUUAUAAGGUUUGCAGAACGUUGGAUGAAGUCACUGAAAAUAUAAUCUAAAAGUGAAACAUUUUGAAAAGGUCCCCAAUACUAUUUUAAAACUCUUUCAAAAAAUAUUAAUUAAAUCCAGAAAGUAACAACCUUUAUCAGACUGUCUACAUGUGGAAAGAUGACACCUGAACACACAGUAAUGUAUCAAAAACUUUUAAUAUAGAAGAAAGUUAAAUAUAAUAUUGUAAACAAAUAACUAAGUGAAUUGAUUAUAGGUUUGUCUUCUACUGCCAACAGGUAAUUUAACAAGUUUUUUAAUCUAUAUGUAUAUAUGAGUGUAGAAUAUCAAGGAAAGUGUGAAACUUUAUAGAUAAAUCUAGGUUAAAGAAAUUUAAGUAAUUUUACCUGCAGUUUCCUUUUUGAAAAAAAAAAAAUUGCACUAACUUCAGGAAAUAUCUUAGUUUCACAUCACUUUUUUUAUUAUGUUAAUGAGAAUCAUUAUAAGAUUAAAAACCUUUAACACUCUGAGUACAGUAAUGUCACACCUUAAUGUACAUUUGGUUAGAAAUGAUUUAUUGAUUAUAAUAAAUUGGCUAUAUUGCUACAAU
Molecule: unclassified non-coding RNA, 4342 nt
Filed under: Limulus polyphemus (Atlantic horseshoe crab)
Lineage: Eukaryota; Metazoa; Arthropoda; Merostomata; Xiphosura; Limulidae
Description: 60 kDa SS-A/Ro ribonucleoprotein-like, transcript variant X1
Source: RNAcentral